CUCUGGGAAGUGGGGAGGAGAGGCGUGUCUGUGGGAGAAGGGUAUGUAUUGGUUCUAACCCAGUCUUGCCUCUGGUCCGUGGUCCUGAAGACUUAGGUUCUACCCCGUAAUCCUACUAACCUCCAUGUGCCCCUCCUAGCUCUCCCAGGAAGCCCUGAGCGCAGGGAAAUGGGAGAGACCCUCCCUGAGGAACCAGGUGAGUGCAGCUCCCCUCUGUGGGCUCAGUGACACCCUGCCGUGUGCGUCAAGAGGCGGCUUGCCGUGUGCGUCAAGAAGCGGCUUGCCGUGUGCAUCAAGAGGCGGCUUGUGAGCACAGGAGAGGGAGGGGGCAGUGGGAGGAGGGCAGGGGCUCAAAUCUCUUGGUCAGUUCUGAGACUAACUCCUGGGCCUGAAGAGGACCUCACUGGGGAUGAGGAGAUGAAUACCUAUCCUAGAUAGAGAGACAAUGGCCCUGUCUGAGUUUCUGGGGCUAGAACUUCUAGGGGUAUUUCCAGAGCAGGACAUCAGAGAUAUUUAGGUCUUUCUGUGGAGCUUUGGAAGAGCUGGCACAGGGUGGGGGUUAGAUGUUGUAAGACUAAGGCAAAUAGAAUUAAAGAGAGAAAACUCUAGAGGAAAGGGGAAAGAGGCCAAGGG
This 633-nucleotide long non-coding RNA is filed under the name Bos taurus (domestic cattle). RNAcentral describes it as "long non-coding RNA NONBTAT017818". The record is from RNAcentral. Lineage: Eukaryota; Metazoa; Chordata; Mammalia; Artiodactyla; Bovidae.